RNAcentral lists this ribosomal RNA (811 nucleotides) under uncultured Janthinobacterium sp. Its description in RNAcentral is "bacterial SSU rRNA". It matches the Rfam family "Bacterial small subunit ribosomal RNA", at positions 1 to 802 of the family's 1533-position model. Lineage: Bacteria; Pseudomonadati; Pseudomonadota; Betaproteobacteria; Burkholderiales; Oxalobacteraceae. The record is from RNAcentral.
GCCCUUAAAGUUUGAACCUGGCCCAAAUUGAACGCUGGCGGCAUCCCUUACACAUUCAAGUCGAACGGCAGCACGGACUUGCUCUGGUGUCGAGUGGCGAACGGGUGAGUAAUAUAUCGGAACGUACCCUGGAGUGGGGGAUAACGUAGCGAAAGUUACGCUAAUACCGCAUACGAUCUAAGGAUGAAAGUGGGGGAUCGCAAGACCUCAUGCUCGUGGAGCGGCCGAUAUCUGAUUAGCUAGUUGGUAGGGUAAAAGCCUACCAAGGCAUCGAUCAGUAGCUGGUCUGAGAGGACGACCAGCCACACUCGGAACUGAGACACAGGUCCAGACUCCUACAGGGAUGGCUAGCAGUGGGGAAUUUUGGACAAUGGGCGAAAGCCUGAUCCAGCAAUGCCGCGUGAGUGAAGAAGGCCUUCGGGUUGUAAAGCUCUUUUGUCAGGGAAGAAACGGUGAAGGCUAAUAUCCUUUGCUAAUGACGGUACCUGAAGAAUAAGCACCGGCUAACUACGUGCCAGCAGCCGCGGUAAUACGUAGGGUGCAAGCGUUAAUCGGAAUUACUGGGCGUAAAGCGUGCGCAGGCGGUUUUGUAAGUCUGAUGUGAAAUCCCCGGGCUCAACCUGGGAAUUGCAUUGGAGACUGCAAGGCUAGAAUCUGGCAGGGGGGGGUAGAAUUCCACGUGUAGCAGUGAAAUGCGUAGAUGAUGUGGAGGAACACCGAUGGCGAAGGCAGCCCUCCUGGGUCAAGAUUGACGCUCAUGUACGAAAGCGUGGGGAGCAAACAGGUUUAGAUACCCUGGUAGUCAAGGGCG